Molecule: ribosomal RNA, 437 nt
Filed under: uncultured Oscillospiraceae bacterium
Lineage: Bacteria; Bacillati; Bacillota; Clostridia; Eubacteriales; Oscillospiraceae
Description: bacterial SSU rRNA
Rfam family: Bacterial small subunit ribosomal RNA
Source: RNAcentral
ACGGAAGGCAGCAGUGGGGAAUAUUAGGCAAUGGGGGAAACCCUGACCUAGCAACGCCGCGUGAAGGAAGAAGGCUUUCGGGUUGUAAACUUCUUUUACCAGGGACGAAGGACGUGGCGGUACCUGGAGAAAAAGCCACGGCUAACUACGUGCCAGCAGCCGCGGUAAUACGUAGGUGGCAAGCGUUGUCCGGAUUUACUGGGUGUAAAGGGCGUGUAGGCGGAGGAGCAAGUCAGGAGUGAAAUCUAUGGGCUUAACCCAUAAACUGCUUUUGAAACUGUUCCCCUUGAGUAUCGGAGAGGCAGGCGGAAUUCCUAGUGUAGCGGUGAAAUGCGUAGAUAUUAGGAAGAACACCAGCGGCGAAGGCGGCCUGCUGGACGACAACUGACGCUGAGGAGCGAAAGUGUGGGGAGCAAACAGGAUUAGAUACCCUGGUA